Molecule: long non-coding RNA, 2390 nt
Filed under: Homo sapiens (human)
Lineage: Eukaryota; Metazoa; Chordata; Mammalia; Primates; Hominidae
Description: non-protein coding lnc-CHD1L-5:17
Source: RNAcentral
AGAAUUCAAGAUGGCGUGUUUAGGAGCUCUAGCUCCUUGACAAAUUAGUAAAAUGUUAGUCUUAGGAGAAGAACGAAAAGGCUCUCCUAGGCUAAGAAACAGCAUACACAGUGAGAAACCUCAGAAGAAAUAAAAUUCAAGGAAGAUAGCAACAACGAAAACAUCAGAAGGAACACUAAAGUAGUCAAAUCAGCCUAGCAGAAACAAAGUACGUUAACCAAUGGAAAACUGACGGAGAGAAAUAAACUGUUUUUGCACAGCUAAAUGGAAAUGACUUUUGAAUUAUCUGCUUUGGAAGAUUAUCCAUGACACUGUUCUGCCCUGCUCUGCUCUAACAACAUUUGCUUGGGCCCACCAUCUGGUUUUGCCAUGAUUACCUGACCCACUCUAAGUACAGUGACUGCAGCAUUAGCAGCGAGUUUGAUAGACCAGUGUUUUCCCAGUGCUAUUAUGCCUGCCUGAAAUGCCUUCUUUCCUCUUAACUCUGCGAAGCCUGUUCAUUUUUAAGACCCAGAUCAAGACUGCCUCCUCCAUGAAGAAACCGCUGACUAUUCAGGCUGACAAUUUUCUCUCCAUCCUCUGAAUUUCUCUAGCACUUAUCACCUGUAGAACUCAUUAAAAAUCAUGUACUGGUAAAGUUGAAAGCAGCUGGAGACCAUUUAAUCUAAAACCCUCAUUCUUUUGCCAUUGACAUUGUUGGCAUUAUUACAAAAACCCCUGCUAUUUAUCAUUUUUAUUGAUAUUAAACUUUCUACACUCCUAAUUUCUGUCUCUUCAAAUGUGUUUUCUCAAGGAUAGGAGAUAAAGCCUACACAUCCACAGCAGAUUAUCAUCACUUCCAUUUAUUGGGAUUUGUGACCUUUAAGUCAUUGUGCUAGGUCCUUCAUCUAUAUUACAACAACCUCUUGAGGAAAGUAUUAUUACACCCAUGUUAUAGAUGAGGGGCAUGGAAAGGAUGAAUAACUUGCCUGAGAUCACAGAGCUAGUAAGUGGCAGAGGUGAAUUUCCAACCCAGGUCUGACUAACUCCAAAGCCUGUGCUUAAGAAAUGUUUGAUUGAUUAUUUAAUGGAGAAAAAUAAGAUUGCUAGUGGAACAACAGGAAGCUAGUCAGUCUUUCUGUGUCCUCCUCUGGCUAAAGUUCAUGUUCAGAACUGAUAAAGAUUUGAUAUGCAGUUACCUGGCAAAAGAAUCACUUUUCCUACACUAUGAAACUCUCUGGAGAUGGCUUCCAGAUUUUAAGUUAUAUACGCACAUUGCUUCAUAGUCUUUUUGUCUAAAAUGACCUGUCUACAGAGGGAUAAUUGUUUACUUCACAAAUCUUAUCUCGCCUAAAGUGACUGUAAGCACUCUGAUAAUUAUGUACUUCCACAGUCACAGUUGAAAGAGCAUAUAUGGUCUUAGAAACUGAACAAUUUUGUGUGCUGGCUAUAUAACUUCUGCUGAGUAAUGAAAACGCUCAGAGCCCUAAUGAAAAGAUUUCCUAUUUAUGAAAUAGUAAUAAUAAUAAUACAUAUAUCACAAGGCUGUUGUGAUAAUUAAGCAGUGUUUUUGUAAAAGGUGUGGUAUAUAGUAAACACUUGAUAAGUGCUUAAUGGCUGUCAUAUUUCUUAUUUCAGUUUUCCAUCUAUACCUUGUUUUAAGCAAAUAACAUUUACAAAUCAGAUUUAUAAGGAAAAUUGUUUAAUCAGUGUAAUCUUAUAUGAAAUUAAUAUUGAAAAAAAGGAAUGUUUUCUCUUUACAAAAGCAUCUACAAGAAUUAUACGAAAAACUUCCAUGAUAUACUGAAAUAUAUAGGUCCAUUUAAAGUUUUUGAUUUAUAAACAAAUCAUCAUGAAUACAAUUUACAAGUAAAGUAAAAAGUUAGAACUCAGCAAUUGAGUUUCUUCAGCUUGGAUUAGUGGUGUGACAGUAUUGCCUCUGCUAUGCAGACAUAGUUUUCCUUUGCAUUUUCCCAGGCUUUCUCACAGACACAGCCACCUUAUCUGUACCCACACAGAAAUGCUUUGUUAUGUGGCAACCUGCAAUUCCCCAGAGCAGGUAAGGCCAAGCUCCCUUAGAACUGCCCAUUUGACAAGCCAAUGAUAUUAAAGAUGGCUCUCGCCAUGGGUCCCCACUCCACAUUUUGCACAUUCCUCUACCAUAACACCCACAUACGUUUUAACCCUUGUUUAUAUAAUUAUUUUAAUUAUUUUUAAUCCUUGUUUAUAUGAUUAUUUCCUGAUAAAUGUCUGUUGAAUUAAUUUAUGAAGUAUCAUAUGAAAUAAUUUUUGUGGUUAUAGAUGAGGAUAGCAAUGAGAAGAAGUGUUUUUCAAACAAAGUUGCUGAGUAAGAGUCAUUUAACAGAAUUGUAGCACUAAGCUUCUAAUUAAAAUAAAACAAUUUAAAACAU